Molecule: ribosomal RNA, 499 nt
Filed under: Megangulus zyonoensis
Lineage: Eukaryota; Metazoa; Mollusca; Bivalvia; Cardiida; Tellinidae
Description: Tellina zyonoensis partial 16S ribosomal RNA
Rfam family: Bacterial large subunit ribosomal RNA
Source: RNAcentral
UUUAUUCAAAAACAUGGCCUUUUGAGUUAUAUUGAGAAGAGGUCUGGCCUGCCCGGUGGAGAAGUCUCUAAACGGUCGCAGCUGCCACUGUGCGAAGGUAGCAUAAUAGGUCGUCCUUUAAUUGGGGGAAAGUAUGAAUGGUCGGAUGUUGGAAAUUCUUUAUUAAGAGUAGGUGUUAAAUUUUACUUUUUAGUGCAAAGGCUAAGAUAAUAUUAUUAGACGAGAAGACCCUGUUGAGCUUGGUAAAAUCAGCCCGAGUCGGGCUGAAAUAGAUUUUUUCGGGGCUGAAAGGAAGGGAUAGGAAUGCCUUCUAUUUUAGGGUUUAGAUCCAGCAAGGCUGAUAUGUAGAAGAUAGCUACCACAGGGAUAACAGCGCAAUCUUCCUGACAAGGCCAUAUUUAAGGGAUGGUUUGCGACCUCGAUGUUGAAUCAGAAUUUCUGCCGGGUGUAGCAGCUCGGUUAGUGGGACUGUUCGUCCUUUAAAAUUCUACGUGAUCUG